Molecule: ribosomal RNA, 406 nt
Filed under: bacterium
Lineage: Bacteria
Also listed under: 1 other name
Description: bacterial SSU rRNA
Rfam family: Bacterial small subunit ribosomal RNA
Source: RNAcentral
GUGGGGAAUAUUGCACAAUGGGCGAAAGCCUGAUGCAGCAACGCCGCGUGAAGGAAGAAGGCCUUCGGGUCGUAAACUUCUGUCCUUGGGGAAGAAGAACUGACGGUACCCAAGGAGGAAGCCCCGGCUAACUACGUGCCAGCAGCCGCGGUAAUACGUAGGGGGCAAGCGUUAUCCGGAAUUAUUGGGCGUAAAGAGUACGUAGGUGGCAACCUAAGCGCAGGGUUUAAGGCAAUGGCUCAACCAUUGUUCGCCCUGCGAACUGGGAUGCUUGAGUGCAGGAGAGGAAAGCGGAAUUCCUAGUGUAGCGGUGAAAUGCGUAGAUAUUAGGAGGAACACCAGUGGCGAAGGCGGCUUUCUGGACUGUAACUGACACUGAGGUACGAAAGCGUGGGGAGCAAACAGG